GUGGAGGAGUUACACAUACUGGUUUAACAUGCGAGCAGCCAUCUUAUGAGGUAAGUCUCACUUUCCUGUGCUUCCUCUUACCCAAACUCCCCCCACUCCCCACCCCCGCCCCCAUUAGUGACCUACCCCAUGGUACCAUAACCCCGAGCCCAUCCCAGAAGGACAGGGCCCCUUUGCUCUGGAAAGCCCCAUGGUGCCACGGACCUGAGCCAACCCCAGGCCAUCCCCCACCCGCCUGGCUCUGAGGCAAGCACCCCCGGCCCAGCCCACAGCGUCACAGCCCCAGCUCCAAACCCCUGCCCCCAAAAGAGGAGCACCCCAACAUCUCGGGGCUCUCCUCUCUGUAGUGAGAUGGCCUUCAUUGGUCAGCUUGGACACAUAAGCUCUGGGGUGGGCCUCGGCCUGCUCUCUGUCCUUCAUCUCCCACUCGCCCGCCUCUGGGUUCCUCAGUGUCCUUGCAGGAGUGCUUCGGCCCCACCCCACUCUUCCCCAGGCGGGUACUGACCACCCAGCUGGGGUCCUUGGUCUCAGCUGCCCACUGACCCCGCCUAACCACUAGCUCCACCGGGGACCCCUGGUCUGCCUUGUCCUCGCCCAGGGCCCCCAGCUGGCAGGGGGCUGCUCCUGGGAGCUGCUUGUUGAGCAGAUGAAGGAGCAAUGGGAUCAGGUGCCAGCACGGUCCCCGGCCUCCACAGCCCGCCGUCUCUGGGUGGAUGUGACUGCUGCAGCGUUUUCUUCCCCUGCCCUCCCGAGCCUCCUCUCUGUGCAGGAGGCCCCCUUGGUUUUGCUAAAGACCGAGCACAAGACCUCCAGCCCAAGGCUCCUUCCCCACGGGGACAUAUCCAGCCCCCCCUGGCCGGGGGACACCAGUUCUUGACUGUUCCUUGGGUUUUAUCCUAAAGGACUCUUCUGUUCUGGUUAGAACAUUCUGUUGGUCCCAGCUCCCGUGCCGAGGCAACCCCAAAGGACCAGCUAGGACCUGAAACAGAGGUCCCCACCUCCUCCACAAGGUAAGGUCACCCAUCAGGUCCUCGCCAUUGUGGCUGCCUCAUUCUGCAGGCACCGACCGACAUACCCACACUCAGGACACACCUGCUUCAGGUGGGCUGGGGGUCCAGCGUCACUCCUGCCCCUCACCCCAUAGCAGAAGGAUGAACCUCACCGCCUUGGAGCCGGAAUCCCUGAGUCCACAUCCCAGCUGCUAUUUCAUGGCUGAGUGACUUUGGAGGUUAUUUUACUGCCCUGAGCCUCAGUUCACCCAUCUAUAAAAUGAGCUGUUAGUAGCAUUUACCUGAUGGGUCUCUCUCCAUUGACGAGGGGCCCCGAGGGAGGGAGAAGGUGUGUCCCCGACCAGGGGCACCUGCUCAACCCUAGAACCCCAGCCUCACACUCUCACCUCGGGAUGAACAUCAGCUGGGUUGUGUCGUUGUUGUUCCCUAAUUUUGUCUUUCAAUCACCUUUUUUUAUUUUUUCAUUUUUAGGUUUUCUCAUCUAUUUUACUCUGGUCUUAUCUGACAUUCCUGCUCCUCAUACCCGUAUUACCAACCCUCCAUUCUUUUGUAUUUUAAAACAUUACUCUAUUGUCACUUUUUACAUUUUGAAUGGGAGCAGCUCUUUGAAUUGCUUUAAGUCGGUUCCUAUAUUCCUCUCCCAAAUAUUUUUAGUGUUUUAUGUCAUGGGUUCUAAUAUUUUAGUUUUUUGAUUUUAUUUUUAAGGCCACUAUUCCCACUCUUGGAUUCUCUUUAACUUUUUUCCGCUGCUUCCUCUCUCAGGACCCCACCCCCAUGCCUGGCCCUGGGCCGUGUCCUGGAAAUGCAGCAAAUGCUCCCGGAGACUGCGCAGAGCCAGGCCCAGAGUUGGCCCUGCAAAACCAAAGGGGGGGGGGGGUCAGGCUUAGGCUGUGCUCUGAAGGGGCCCCACAGUCCCAGGAAAAGACACACCUUUGUCCAUAACCCUUGGGGACAAUGAGAAGAGAGGAUGGACUUCCUGAGGCCACGCGGCAGCUCUAUGGGAAUUCCAAGGUGCUGAGGCCUGGGUGCUGAGGGUUCAAGGUCAUGUUCACAGCAGAAAAAUUCCAGCUAGACAUGAAGACCUCAGGCCAGGUGGGUGCUGGAAGCUGACAUCAGAGUUCAGGGUAGAGACUGGGGUCAGGAAGAGGAGCCUGGAGAGAAAGGGGAAGGAGGUGGCCACCAAGCCUAGAUGAUAAGACAUACAGGACAUUAGGAGAGUCCAGGCUGUCCUCCCUGGAGAAUGUGGACCGGUUGCACGGAUGCAUAGGUUCAUGUUCUCUGGGCAAGGAGCCCCCGCGUCCUCCACAGGAGUUCUUCCCAACAGCCACCUCCCCAUGGUCACAUCACCCGAUGCAUUGGCCCACCCCACCUCCCAUUUUAGUUUCUUCAGUUGAAAGAACACACACUAUUCUAGGAUGUGGAAAAGCACAGAGCUGACUUCUAUGUCCAGUGAUGCAGCAGUUUGGUUGUUUAGGUCGACCUCAUGGUUCCAACAACUAGAAAUGCUGAAUAGAAUGAGAAGCAUCUUCUGUAAAGUAUGGAAGGGCUACAUGGUAGUGAGGGGGUUCUAGACCAACAGGAAGGAGGAACCUGCGUGCUGCAGCUUUGUGCCCCAUGGGCAUCUGCCCGUCCAGCAAGCUUGACCUUCAGUUUGGACAUCAUUGGGAGCUUGGGGGGAAAGAAGAUAAAACCCAGUGCUCAGAAAAGACAGGGAAUCUAGAGGGCAUCUUCCCUCACAGAGACAGACCCCAAAGGGAAACCCACAGGUAAGUACGGAGCAGAAGGAAAACUAGCUCACCCCUCCUACAGCCAGGGACUGCAAGAAAAGAUGCCUUGUUCCAAUCAGAGCCCGAGGAAAAAGAGCCAUUCAUGAAAAGUAGAUUUACAGCCCAAGCCCACUGCCGCAGUCCGGCUGCAGCAAAAUAACCGGGGGGUGACGAACAACUUAUGUACAUUGAUACAGCAGGAGUAGGAGCCGUUUAUUGUAGGACAGGAGGGGUAUAUAUACAUUCCACACAGCUUAUCUUAAUUAACAUAAACUAGAUACAGCAGUCAACCAAUAAGGAAUCUCCACACUUAAUGGCUCGCUGGCGUUACUUCACAAACUACUCCUUCUGCAAAAUGCCAGGUGCCAUCUUGACUUGUUUACAGACUCUAACAGCCUACCCCCACCACAAUGGCCAGAAUAACAAUGACUAUUAAUUUAAUCUAAAGUUGUCUUGGGCCAGUAAUAUCUUUGAGGCAGUCAGAAGAAGCCAAUGCAGAUCAUUUCAUCCCAGACCUCAAAGAAUUACCAAAAAUAGUUACCUGAGAAAAAUGAACAUACAACUCAGACUAAAAAUAACCAAGUACACAAGGAAAUAAGGCUUCAGGUGUGAGAACCAGCAGAAGCAGAGCUGUAAGAUUUCAGAUACUGAAAAUUUCAGGUAUAGAAUAUAAAACAAUGACGUUUACUGUUUGAAAAGAGGAAAAGGGUAUGUUUUGAUUAAUGUUUUCAGGGGACAAGAAAGUGUUUUUUAAAAAAGAAACAGAUUCCACAAAGAAGAAUCUAUUACAUCUAAAAUGAAAAACAUAAUAACUAAAGAAAACACUCAAUGAAUGUGUACAAUAGAUUAGACAGAGCUGAAGAGAGAAUUAGUGAAUUAGAUGAAUGCAAAGAGCAAAGAGCAAAGGAGAUGGGGGAUAAGAAAGAAAAGGUAAGAGGAAUGGACAAUACAAUGAAAAGAUUUCAUAUAUAUUAAGCUGGAAAGGAGAAAAAAAUGAGAGAACAAGGCAAAAGCAAUAAUUCAGGAAAUAAGGCCAACAAUUUCCAGACCUGAAGAAAGCUAUCAAGCCACAAUUCUAAGAAGAUCAAAGAAUCCGAUAAAGGUUAAAUAAAUGGAAUUCACAUGGAGAUUCAUCAGAAUGAAACUAUAAAACACCAAAGACAAGACUUUAAAGCUGCCAUACAAAGGGCAAAACUAGAUGACAAUGUAUGCAAAAGAAAAAAAGAUGGAUUAGCAGCUGGCUUUCCACAGCAAAAGUGGGUGCCAAAACAUAACUGGAAGAAUAGGCAUGUGUUGAGGAAAAAUAGAUGCCAACCUAGAAUCCUGUAGCCAGUGAAAAUAUCCUUCGAAAAUGGAGUGAAAUUAAGACUUUUCAGAUAUAAGAAGGAAAAACAUCACUACCAGAAGAGUCUCACUAAGGCAAUGCCAAAGGUUGUUACUAAAGGAAGAAGAAAAGUGAUCCAUGAAGAUCUGAGGUCUAAGUAAAAAGAACACCCAGAUGGGGAACUGCACGGAGAAGAAGAAGAAAACAUUACCUGCUGUAAGCUGUGCUGAUGAGGGUAUGUGGGGUUGAAGGAAAGACAGAACCUAAAAUAGGAACACACCAACACCUAAGUAAGGGGUUAAAUGGUUUUAAAGUGUCUUAGUUCUCUCACAUGGUCCAGGAGAGUAAAGGUGUUGAUUAAUAUUAGCCACUGAUUGAUUUUGAAUCCACAUGUGAUUUCUAGAUUAACUCUUAUAAGGUUAGAAACAGGGCUGGGGACAUAGGUGAGUGGCACACGGCCUGCUGAACAUGUGCAAGCCCUGGGGGUGAGUCCCAGAAUGUGCACACGCACAUGCACACACACACACACACACAGGACAGAAACAGAAUAUAUCUUUCCAACUAAUUGAAGGAGUAAUUUUGAAUGGUCAAAAAUAUUCCAUUAAUCAAAAGGGGGAAAAAGGACAAGAAAUUAAAAGAACCCCAGAAGAUGUGGGGCAUAUAGAAAGCACAAAAUAAUGUAGUAGAAAUAAAUAUAAUAAAUAUACCAGAAAUUACAUUAAAUAUAAGUAGAAUAAGUGCUCUGGUUAAAAAACUUGAGAUUAUUAGAUUGGAUUUUAGAAUACUAGAAAUAUAUUUAAAGCAUACGAUAUAUUCAAAAUGGAUGGGAAAACCAUGUUAUCCCAACAAUUAAUGAAAGAAAGCUGAUAUCACUGUAUUAAUAUUAAACUAAUCUAAGGCAAAAAAGAAUUGUUUGAGGAAAAGAAGGUCGCUGCCGGAGUUUGGCUGCAGCAAAAUAACCUGGGGGGUGAGGAACAACUUGUGUACGUUGAUACAGCAGGAGUGGAAGCCAUUUAUUGCAGGACAGGAGCAGUAUUUAUACAUUCCACACAGCUUAUCUAAUUAGCAUAAACUAGAUACAUCAGUCAACCAAUAAGAAAUCUCCACACUUAAUGGCUUGCUGGUGUUACUUCACAAACCACUCCCUCUGGCAUUUUGCCAGGCGCCAUCCAGACUUGUUUACAGACUCUAACAGGUCGCUAGCUAGGCUGGGUGUGUAGCCCAGUGGUAGAGGCCUGGCCUAGCAGGUGUGAGGCCCUGGGCUCCAUCCCCAGCCAAACAACAACAAAAAGGGUCUAUUUCACAAUAAUAAAAAUGAAAUAGAGCAACAUUCAAAACCAUAAAUGAAAUGCACACACAAAAUUAUGAGCAAAAAAAGCAAGAUACCAAAGAAAUAUUGCAACGUGAUUCCAUUUACACCAUGUUCAAAAAAAUAGAAAAAGCUGAACUGUAAUGUUUAGUGAUUCACAAUAAGAGGUACACUUAGGAACAAAGGCAAGAAAAUAAUAGCCUAGGAGUCAGGGUAGCAGUUGCAUUCGAGGGAAAGGAACGGCAAUCAGCAAGAGGCACUCAGGUCAGGGUGCUGCUAAAGUUCUGGGUCUAGUGACCUGGGCGCAGAUUUCUCAGGUGCUUGUUUUGUAAGUAUGUUUUAUUCCGGGUAUAAGCAUCCUUCAGUAUCCAUGGAAGUCUGUCCCAGGACCCACGUGGAUAUCAAAAUCCACAGAUAUUCAAGCCCCUCAUAUAAAAUGGUACUGUAUUUGCAUAGAAUCUUACACAGCCUCCUGUAUACCUUAAAUCAUGUAUAGAUUACUUGUAAUACAAUAUAUGUGCUCUAUCAAUACUUGUAACACUGAAUUGUUUAGGGCAUAAUGAAAGAGAAAAAAGUCUAUAGAUGUUCAGUGCAGAUACAUUUUCUUUCCAAUUACUUUCUAUCUGCAAUUGGUUGAAUCUGUGGAUGUGGAACUUAUAGACAUGGAUGUCCAAUUGUAUUUACAUAAUUAAUUCUGCAAUUAAUUAGGCAAAAAAGAAUUGUUCGAGGAAAAGAAGGUCGCUAGCUAGACUGGGUGUGUAAAAAGGGGACCAGGCACUGUGGCCCACGCCUGUGAUCUCAGUGGCUCGGGAGGAUGAUCAGGAGGAUUGAGAGUUCAAAGGCAGCCUCAGCAACUUAGUGAGACCCUAAGCAACUUAGCAAGACCCUGUCUCUCAAUUAACAUAUAUUUUUAAAAAAUGACUAAGGAUGUUGCUCAGUGGUUAAGCACCCCUGGGUUUAAGCCCCAGUACAAAAAAAAGGCAUUCUGAGAUCUACACCUGUUUCAUAUUGUGAAAUCCCUUCCAUAGAUGGAAACUAAUUCCUCUCCUUGAAUGUGAACUAGUCUUGGUGACUUUUUUCUUACAAACGGAGUAGAGGUGAUGAUCUGAGACCUGGGAGAUUAGUCCAUGCUAUAAUUUGGAUCUUAAAUGUACCUGGAGGCCCAUGUGCUGAAGGCUUGGUCCUCAGCCUGUGGAGGAACCUUAAGGAGGUGGGGCUUAGUGGAAUGCAGUUAGGUCCCUGGGGACAUGCCCUUGAAGGGAAUAUUAAGACCCUGGCUCCUUCCUGUUUCUGUCUUCACUACCUGAAUGAUAUGAGGUGGGCAGCUUUCUCCACCACAUGUUCUCGCCAUUAUUUACUGCCUUGCCACAGGCUUAAAAGCAACAUGGUCAAUUGACCAUGGACUGAAACCUCCAAAACUGUGAGCCAAAACUAGACCCUGAACUAGAACUGUGCAGCUAAGCUCCUCACACAUUCUUACCCCUCAGAAACAGUGAGUUAAUGAGUGUUUGCUUUUAUAAGCUGCUGAGUUUGGGAUAAUUUGUUACCUUUUCACUUUUUGAGUUGAUUAUCUCAGGUAUUUUGUUCCAGUAACAGAAAGCUGACUAACAAAGUCCAUAAAAGGCUCUAUGACUUCCUUAUUCUUUUUUCUUGCAUUUCUUCCUCUGGGAGAAACCAUGUCAUUGAGGACACUUUACCAGCUUAUGAGGAGGCUCACAGGGUGAGGGACUGUAACUUCUAGGCAAUAGCUAAAGGAGUGGGCCCCCCUGGAAGCAGAUCCUCUACCCCUAGGCAAGACUUAGAUGCCUGCAGCUCCUGCCAAUAUCUUGAUUGCAGCAGUAUGAGAAACCCUUAAUUACAGCCUUCCAGCUAAGCUGUUCCCAAAUUCUUAUCCCACAGAAACUGUGAGUUAAUAAGUGUUUGUUGUUGAAAGCUUUUGAGAUUUGGGAUAAUUUGUUACACAGCAAGAGAUAACUAAUACGUAUCACUAACUUGCUGUGUGGCCAAAUUGCAUUUUCUCUCUGCGCCUCAGUUUUCUUACCAACAUAUAGGAGAAGUUAGACUGGAUUGUAAAUGGCAAACGAUGGCAAUCCAGAAGUGCAGUGAAGAUUCUGAGCUGCACCUGAGAUCAGGGAGACAAAGGCAGUGAUUGAUUGAUUGAUUGAUUGAUUGUGUGUGUGUGUGUGUGUGUGUGUGAGUGAGAGAGAGAGAGAGAGAGAGAGAGAGAGAGAGAGAGAGAGAGAGAGAGAGAGAGUGUGGUGGGGAGCAGGAGCAUGGCAGCUUGCUUUCCAUGUGUAUUUGGCUCCAGAAAAAAGGAUCCCUAAAUCUAGAGAAGGGAAAUCAUCUUGAUUUCUCCCUUUUACUAAAUAGAACUUUUUGGGAAGUCCAAGCUUAGUAGCUUAGCAGUGCCAGAAGCAGGGCUCUCCUCCUAACUGGCUCUUCCCAGCCCUCAUGUUUGAAAUCGAUUAAGGAGCAUCAGCCAAGGCCCUGGGUCCAAAUCUUGUCUGUCACUUACCAGUUGUGUGACCUCCAGCAACUUCCUUCAACUCUUUAACCCUCAGCUUCAAGUGGAGAUUUCUCCAUCCAUGGAUGAAUCAUCUCAGCUUGCAGCCAAUCAGUGCAGCAGGAGGCUUGACUCACAUACCAGCAACAGCCCAGAGUCCCCGCCAUCAGGAACUUUCUGUCUAUUUGAGAGGAGGAGUCUUGGUCACAUGACACUAUUGGAGAACAUUUCACGCCAGUGCAAGCACAGUGCCUAAUGACUUGGAGCCAGGAUUUGCACAAGGUCCACAAGCAUUGGCACCACCUGGGAACUUGUUAGGAUGCACAUGCUCAGGCCCUGCCCCAGCUUGGAAUCAAGCCAUCUGGGUGCUGUGAUAAACCUCUCUGGGACUCCAAUGGGUGCCCAAGACUGAGGAGCACUGCUCUAGAAUUCGACCCACAGAGGGACGGGGAGAAGUCUGCUAGAGGAGGAUAAAUUUGAAUCCUAAAGAAUGACUGGAAUUUAGAUAGAAGAAAGGACAGAAGUGAUUUCCGGGAGCCACAGCAAGCGGGUGGGACAAACCAGCAAGUGGGGUAAAGAAACCCAGGGCAGGGCUGGGGAAGAGCGGGAACUGUCAAGUGGGGAGCUUGGCCUCCGUGGAGCAGGCCACCGGGAGUCAUUGCAGGUGCCUGAGCAGGAGAGUGGCAAUAUCUGCUUCCUCUUUUAGACUUGCCAGCCAGAGAUUUUCCCCAGGUCUUACCGUGCUCCUAAGAUGAAUGCCUCCACUUACUCUCAUCCUCCAGAGCUGAGGAGACCCCUGCCACAACUCAGGAGGCUCUGGGAUGGCAAGUGUGGAGGAGGGGGUGCAGGGAGACAGAGCAGUGGCCGGGGCCAGGGCCCCCUCCCAGAGGCCUCAGGAGCACCAGCUCAGCACGGGCCUGUAGCAACCACGCACUGUGCACAGGUAUUGAAUUAUGAAUGGAUAUUGCCCAGAAAUAAUUGCAAACAUUAUUGCCCCCCACACGGGUGUCCUCUGCGGGGCCGCAGCAAUAGAUUUUGUUGCUUUAACGCUGCGGGGUCAUUAUAAAUUAGGGCUAUCACGUUAACAGCAGGCCAGCAGACGUGAGGAGAGGGAAUCCCGUUUGAAAGCUCCGAGAGGAAGAGACCCCUCAACUGCACACGUUGGUUACCCUCAACUUUUCCUUUGGUUUGAUCUAUUCCACCCGUCCCUAUUAAAUAACUAAUUAUUUAACAUCUUUUAAAGCUUUGUUAUAUAUUAGAACAGGCAGGACACAAAUGAGUGCUUUUAAUAAUAUAAAAGCCCAUUAGCUUCAUUUACUGUUAAUGUUAAAAUAAAC
Molecule: long non-coding RNA, 9249 nt
Filed under: Marmota monax (woodchuck)
Lineage: Eukaryota; Metazoa; Chordata; Mammalia; Rodentia; Sciuridae
Source: RNAcentral